UCGAUUUUGUAUUCCCAACUCAUAGGUGUGUGUGCGGCUAAUCCAUCGUGCUCAUCGAUCAUCAUCCACAUGGUUGCAGAUAUCAAUGGAGUCCGUAAGGUAAAGCGCGAUUGACACGCCGGGAUACGCGUACUCACCGAAGGAUUUGGGUACAUUUCUUUAGGCUUCAUUGGUUGGUUGGUGGCAUCUGAGGCCCACUGAAUGGUAUGAAAUAGACCCAGGUGGAUCAAUAAGAGACUUAUCUGAGCAUGUUGGUUAUGCUACAAUACACAGUAGGGUCGGGUGUUUCUUUCGAAUUUAGUUACAAUGAAGAAAGGAGAAUACACUAACAAGACGUUUUAAGAAAAAGUAUAAAAAGUAGACGAGAAAUCUAAGUACAGAUAUAGAUAUGAACUAAAUGUGGUUAAACUUCUCUUUCAAGCAGAGCUCCAACCCUAUAAUGCAAAGGAAUCCAUAUCUUUCUACUUUCUUUUGCUCUUCAUGUUCAACGGUGUGGAUCAAUUCUGAUGACAUGUUUCAAUAGUUUGCAGCAUAGCAUAAAGUGGUGAAUAUAAUCACUUCCCUCACUUUGGAUGGCUCAAAAUAUUUUAUCUCUUUCCACCUUUCUUUGUUAGAUGCUGUUCCUUCCCUCCACAUAAAAGCUUGUAAAAGCAUUUAUAGAGAGAAAGAACAACGUUUUUGCCAAGAUUCAUAGUUAGGUUUUAGUGGGAUUAGAUACAAAGAAGUAGGUUCCGUUUGGGGCCACGAGACAAAAAAUUUCACGUGUAUACCUUAAACGAUUCAUG
Molecule: long non-coding RNA, 785 nt
Organism: Cucurbita maxima (winter squash)
Lineage: Eukaryota; Viridiplantae; Streptophyta; Magnoliopsida; Cucurbitales; Cucurbitaceae
Exons: 3
Source: RefSeq, a predicted model, not a curated record